RNAcentral lists this ribosomal RNA (616 nucleotides) under Microbacterium sp. RNAcentral describes it as "bacterial SSU rRNA". It matches the Rfam family "Bacterial small subunit ribosomal RNA", at positions 404 to 1034 of the family's 1533-position model. Lineage: Bacteria; Bacillati; Actinomycetota; Actinomycetes; Micrococcales; Microbacteriaceae. The record is from RNAcentral.
AGGGAUGACGGCCUUCGGGUUGUAAACCUCUUUUAGCAGGGAAGAAGCGAGAGUGACGGUACCUGCAGAAAAAGCACCGGCUAACUACGAGCAAGCAGCCGCGGUAAUACGUAGGGUGCAAGCGUUAUCCGGAAUUAUUGGGCGUAAAGAGCUCGUAGGCGGUUUGUCGCGUCUGCUGUGAAAUCCCGAGGCUCAACCUCGGGCCUGCAGUGGGUACGGGCAGACUAGAGUGCGGUAGGGGAGAUUGGAAUUCCUGGUGUAGCGGUGGAAUGCGCAGAUAUCAGGAGGAACACCGAUGGCGAAGGCAGAUCUCUGGGCCGUAACUGACGCUGAGGAGCGAAAGGGUGGGGAGCAAACAGGCUUAGAUACCCUGGUAGUCCACCCCGUAAACGUUGGGAACUAGUUGUGGGGUCCUUUCCCGGAAUUCCGUGACGCAGCUAACGCAUUAAGUUCCCCGCCUGGGGAGUACGGCCGCAAGGCUAAAACUCAAAGGAAUUGACGGGGACCCGCACAAGCGGCGGAGCAUGCGGAUUAAUUCGAUGCAACGCGAAGAACCUUACCAGGCUUGACAUACACCAGAACACCGUAGAAUACGGGACUCUUGGACACUGGUGAA